RNAcentral lists this transfer RNA (68 nucleotides) under Gastrothylax crumenifer. Its description in RNAcentral is "tRNA-Ser". The record is from RNAcentral. Lineage: Eukaryota; Metazoa; Platyhelminthes; Trematoda; Plagiorchiida; Gastrothylacidae.
GUGUGUAAGAGUUGGGCUCAUAGAUGAUUUGAAAUCAUUUAGUUCGUAUUAGUAUGCGAUACAUACUA